AACGCACAUUGCGCCCGCUAGUAUUCUGGCGGGCAUGCCUGUUCGAGCGUCAUUUCAACCCUCAAGCCCAGCUUGGUGUUGGGGACCGGCCGCUGCCUGACCGCCGCGGCCGCCCCCGAAACGCAGUGGCGGCCUCGCCGCAGCCUCCCUUGCGUAGUAGCACAUCUCGCACCGGAGCGCGGCGCGGCCACGCCGUAAAACCCCCCAGACUUCUGAAUGUUGACCUCGGAUCAGGUAGGAAUACCCGCUGAACUUAA
Molecule: unclassified non-coding RNA, 257 nt
Filed under: uncultured Sordariomycetes
Lineage: Eukaryota; Fungi; Ascomycota; Sordariomycetes
Description: sequence contains ITS2
Source: RNAcentral